AUGGAGUUACCUUCUUCUUAUUUAGAUCUUGAUUCUAUGUUUUCCCACCAGUUCAUUGAGAGGACUGGACCACCUUACCAGUAUCAACUAAUCUUUGACAGACGACAUGUGGUCCGUGUUGCUCUUCCUGCUCCUACCUUCUUUGAUUUUCAGGCGAGAGGAACAUAUAUUAUUACCAGAGAGGAGGCAGAUGAGUACGAAAGGGGAGUGGAGGCUGCUCGACUCCACGCUACAGCUCAGGCGGCAAUAGCCGCUGCGUCACGAUACGACCCCAGCUUCACCUACGGAUAUCCGCCAGGCCAUCCCUGGAAAUAG
Molecule: ribosomal RNA, 315 nt
Filed under: Triticum aestivum (bread wheat)
Lineage: Eukaryota; Viridiplantae; Streptophyta; Magnoliopsida; Poales; Poaceae
Description: partial small subunit ribosomal RNA
Source: RNAcentral